GACGAACGCUGGCGGCGUGCUUAACACAUGCAAGUCGAACGGAAAGGCCCUGCUUGCAGGGUGCUCGAGUGGCGAACGGGUGAGUAACACGUGGGUGAUCUGCCCCUUACUUUGGGAUAAGCCUGGGAAACUGGGUCUAAUACUGGAUAGGACCAUGCUGUAGGUGGUGUGGUGGAAAGAUUAGUUUCGGUAAGGGAUGAGCUCGCGGCCUAUCAGCUUGUUGGUGGGGUAAUGGCCUACCAAGGCGUCGACGGGUAGCCGGCCUGAGAGGGUGGACGGCCACAUUGGGACUGGGAUACGGCCCAGCCUCCUACGGGAGGCAGCAGUGGGGAAUAUUGCACAAUGGGCGCACGCCUGAUGCAGCGACGCCGCGUGGGGGAUGACGGCCUUCGGGUUGUAAACUCCUUUCAGCCAUGACGAAGCCCUUGUGGUGACGGUAGUGGUAGAAGAAGCACCGGCUAACUACGUG
Molecule: ribosomal RNA, 469 nt
Filed under: uncultured bacterium
Lineage: Bacteria
Description: partial 16S ribosomal RNA
Rfam family: Bacterial small subunit ribosomal RNA
Source: RNAcentral